This 341-nucleotide long non-coding RNA is filed under the name Mytilus galloprovincialis (Mediterranean mussel). The record is from RNAcentral. Lineage: Eukaryota; Metazoa; Mollusca; Bivalvia; Mytilida; Mytilidae.
GUGGCAAAUAUUUCAUGCAUAUUCAGGACGAGAACAAGUUCACAAUAAAUACAAUAGGUAGGUCUUGUCAUCAUAGAGGCCAUUUGGAAUGAUGGUCUUGGAAAUUUGGACUGCCACUGGAAAUUGAGGGGAUAUUGGAUAGGGACAUACAUUUUGCCUUGAAACAGGCCACCUACAGGCCCUCAAAGAGUUGUUGCAAGGGUUCUUAACGUGCAAAGAGCGUGGCACUCCCUUUACACGAGACAUCGGAUUUAACGUCCCUAUUCUGACAGGACGGCUAUAGCAAACUUUCCAAAAACUUUAAAAGCCUCCCAAAUGAUUAAUGUCAUCUGAGGAUAAUG